CUGCACUGUUAAGUGACUGGAAGGCUCCUCAAUGCCUCUCUAAUCUCAUUCCAGUGCUACAGAAACCUCAGUUUGCAGAAGGACUGGGCCAGACCAGUGGCCCCCCCCUUUCGAAGGCUGAGAACACCC
Paramormyrops kingsleyae is the source of this 129-nucleotide small nucleolar RNA. The record is from Ensembl. Lineage: Eukaryota; Metazoa; Chordata; Actinopteri; Osteoglossiformes; Mormyridae.